RNAcentral lists this ribosomal RNA (316 nucleotides) under uncultured bacterium. Its description in RNAcentral is "bacterial SSU rRNA". It matches the Rfam family "Bacterial small subunit ribosomal RNA", at positions 28 to 334 of the family's 1533-position model. The record is from RNAcentral.
GACGAACGCUGGCGGCGUGCCUAAUACAUGCAAGUAGAACGCUGAGGACUGGUGCUUGCACCGGUUCAAGGAGUUGCGAACGGGUGAGUAACGCGUAGGUAACCUACCUCAUAGCGGGGGAUAACUAUUGGAAACGAUAGCUAAUACCGCAUGACAAUGGAGGACCCAUGUCUUUCAUUUAAAAGGUGCAACUGCAUCACUAUGAGAUGGACCUGCGUUGUAUUAGCUAGUUGGUGAGGUAACGGCUCACCUAGGCGACGAUCCCUAGCUGGUCUGAGAGGAUGACCAGCCACACUGGAACUGAGACACGGUCCAG